CUAAUGGCGCUGAAGGUAUCGGUCAUCUUCCUCGACGAGGGUCUUGUUGGUUGAUGCAGUGCCCCGUUUCAGAUGCUUUAUUAAUGUGCGUGCGGCCAUCAUCGGGUUGACAAAAUGAAAGAGAAACCAAGUUGUGCUGUGGAGGUGUUUUGGUAAAACCGGAAAACAACUAGGUUAACUGAAGAAACCUAUGAAGAUCAGCCAGUAGAGAACUAAAUGCCGUAACUGCAACCAAUCACACUUUUAUUUUUGCAACUCAAAUUCAAUGGGCGCAUUGUACCUGAGGAAUCCAGGUUUGCUGUCAUCCAAGGAUGCAUCAAACUGCCGCUGUGCUUGGACAACAUAGCCGAUUCUUCCGGCAGGACUCAGUUCUUCAUGGCUUGCAUAUGGUAAAUUCGUUCCUAAACCCCUAUCCUUCUCUUCCUCAUUGUCACUUUCAUCAAACAAAAUAUUCUUUCCUCUGAAUACUGCUGAGUGCUGCUCACUCGAACCUGCAUUAUCUUCGUCACUGACAUCUGAGAUCGAAGAAGAUGAUCUCUGUAGCUGCAUCUCGAACCUCUCUCUGAUUCUUUCCUUGUGAAGCAAAUCAUCCUGUUUUGCUUUCAUUCCCUCAUCUGAAUCCGAGCCAGAGUUCUGAUCAUGGUGGAUCUUCUCAAAGUUUUUGCUGUCAGCAGAAUUCUCAAUCUCAACACUCUCGGAUCCGUUGAUAUCACUUCUCUUCUGGCUACCAGCUUUACUCUCAUCAGCAGAGCCUUUUUCUUGGGACUCCGAUCGACAGAGUUCCACUGCAGCCCUUGCAGCUGCCGCAGCAAAAGCAGCUGACUCAAAGGCAGCCUGUGCUGCACUGGCCACAUCAUCAUACUUCUGAUGGCUCCUAAAUGCAGGAUUAUCAUCCGAUUCAAGUUGCUCCAGGUUGAGAUGAGUUGGUGGGCUGACCAUCGAAUUCCCCUGAAUCAAAGGAGAUCCAAAAGCAACAAGAUGAGAUGGGACUGUACAACACCUGAAGAAGUGCGAAGUGUUUGAACCAGAGCUA
Molecule: long non-coding RNA, 1033 nt
Organism: Musa acuminata AAA Group (dessert banana)
Lineage: Eukaryota; Viridiplantae; Streptophyta; Magnoliopsida; Zingiberales; Musaceae
Exons: 7
Source: RefSeq, a predicted model, not a curated record